CAGUCGCCGCGGUAAUACAGAGGGUGCGAGCGUUAAUCGGAUUUACUGGGCGUAAAGCGUGCGUAGGCGGCUAAUUGAGUCGGAUGUGAAAUCCCCGAGCUUAACUUGGGAAUUGCAUUCGAUACUGGUUAGCUAGAGUGUGGGAGAGGAUGGUAGAAUUCCAGGUGUAGCGGUGAAAUGCGUAGAGAUCUGGAGGAAUACCGAUGGCGAAGGCAGCCAUCUGGCCUAACACUGACGCUGAGGCACGAAAGCGUGGGGAGCAAACAGGAUUAGAUACCCCCGUAGUCCCUGUCUCUUAUAC
This 301-nucleotide ribosomal RNA is filed under the name uncultured bacterium. RNAcentral describes it as "partial 16S ribosomal RNA". It matches the Rfam family "Bacterial small subunit ribosomal RNA", at positions 509 to 807 of the family's 1533-position model. The record is from RNAcentral.